This is a non-coding RNA of Paramuricea clavata, 671 nucleotides long. The record is from the annotation of a GenBank genome assembly. NCBI's taxonomy places the organism in Eukaryota, Metazoa, Cnidaria, Anthozoa, Malacalcyonacea, Plexauridae.
CAAGCGAGAGUUUAAGGAUGCUUUAAAGCUGAGAUACGAUUGGCCACUUAGUGAUAUCCCAUCAAACUGCGCAUGUGGAGUGCCUUUCAACGUAGACCAUGCUAUGAUAUGCGGUCGAGGGGGGUUUAUUAUUCAACGCCACAACCAAUUACGGGAUUUAGAAGCUGAACUUCUAAACAUUGUUUGUAAUUAUGUUCAGAUUGAACCUAUCCUACAAGAAAUAAAUGGUGAACCAUUAAACCCAGGCGCAAAUCGUUCACUUGACGAUCGACUUGACGUACAUUCACGUGGCUUUUGGGAGAGGCAAAGGGUAUGUCACCCAAAUGCUAACUCCUGUACACAUCUAUCCUAUCCACGCGAGAAUGAAAGGAAACGUAUGUACAACAACCGGGUUACAUAUAUUGAACAGGGAACAUUUACACCAUUAGUCUUUACCACAACUGGUGGAAUGGGAGAGGAGUGCUUGAGGUAUCACUGUCGACUAGCUGAGCUACUUGCUGAGAAGAAAGGAGAGACAUAUUCGAGGACUAUGUCGUGGUUAAGAGCAAAGAUAUCGUUUUCAAUCCUUAGAUCGGCGCUGCUAUGCAUACGAGGCUCAAGAAUGUUUAGAAGAGCACACUGUAACCCAGGGGACAUUGAUAUUGAAAUAUAGACAAUAUCGGCAAGGAUCC